GCGGUGGAGAGCCCCCCUGAGCAGGACAGCAGCACAGAGGGCAGGCAGCCAAGCCAAGAGGCUGGGAGGGCCGAUCCCUGCUGGUGGCGUCGAGCACCCAGAACCCACAGGACAGACUCCUGCCCGCGGUGCCCUGCUGUCUCGCCUCCUGACCCCCGGGGCUUCCCGGGUGGCCCUGCGUGGCCCUGCGAGCUCCGCCUCAGAGAACUGCAAGUAAUCAACUAUCUUCUCAAUGGCAUCGUCUCUGGGUCCGCUGGCCUUGCUGAACCGCACAUGUUCCCUUGUCACUUUCUCUGUGAAACCUGCCCUCCCAGACCCUUUGCAGACGCUUAGCCUGAACAGAGGAAGAGCAAAGGAAGUGUGCGCCCUGUCACAGCAUCUUCGACAAGAGCCCACUGUGCACCUGAAGCCAGAAGCAUCUUCUCCAGCGGAGGCCGAGCACGUCGCUCCCUGCUCCUGCUCCCCUGCUCCUUAGAAACUGACCCAGGGCCCUUGCUGUGGAACUGAGCUUAGCCUAACGAGGCAGCUCAGAGGCAGGCGCCGGCCAGCCAGCCAGCGCCCAAGCUCACAGAAGAGACGGAGAAAGCCUCAUCAGCAGAGCGUUCCGUCAUCGCAGCUGACUGCUCUCCAGGCCUGAGCUGGGGGAUAUCGAAGUUCGGA
Equus caballus (horse) is the source of this 660-nucleotide non-coding RNA. NCBI's taxonomy places the organism in Eukaryota, Metazoa, Chordata, Mammalia, Perissodactyla, Equidae. The record is from RefSeq and is a predicted model, not a curated record.